This 454-nucleotide ribosomal RNA is filed under the name uncultured organism. RNAcentral describes it as "partial 16S ribosomal RNA". It matches the Rfam family "Bacterial small subunit ribosomal RNA", at positions 331 to 800 of the family's 1533-position model. The record is from RNAcentral.
ACGUACACCCUGCGGGAGGCAGCAGUGGGGAAUAUUGGACAAUGGGCGCAAGCCUGAUCCAGCCAUGCCGCGUGAGUGAUGAAGGCCCUAGGGUUGUAAAGCUCUUUCACCGGCGAAGAUAAUGACGGUAACCGGAGAAGAAGCCCCGGCUAACUUCGUGCCAGCAGCCGCGGUAAUACGAAGGGGGCUAGCGUUGUUCGGAUUUACUGGGCGUAAAGCGCACGUAGGCGGACUAUUAAGUCAGGGGUGAAAUCCCGGGGCUCAACCCCGGAACUGCCUUUGAUACUGGUAGUCUUGAGUUCGAGAGAGGUGAGUGGAAUUCCGAGUGUAGAGGUGAAAUUCGUAGAUAUUCGGAGGAACACCAGUGGCGAAGGCGGCUCACUGGCUCGAUACUGACGCUGAGGUGCGAAAGCGUGGGGAGCAAACAGGAUUAGAAACCCCUGUAGUCCCAUGA